This 468-nucleotide ribosomal RNA is filed under the name uncultured bacterium. RNAcentral's name for it is "partial 16S ribosomal RNA". It matches the Rfam family "Bacterial small subunit ribosomal RNA", at positions 28 to 507 of the family's 1533-position model. The record is from RNAcentral.
GACGAACGCUGGCGGCGUGCUUAACACAUGCAAGUCGAACGGAAAGGCCCUGCUUUUGUGGGGUGCUCGAGUGGCGAACGGGUGAGUAACACGUGAGUGACCUGCCCUUGACUUUGGGAUAACUUCAGGAAACUGGGGCUAAUACCGGAUAGGAGCUCCUGCUGCAUGGUGGGGGUUGGAAAGUUUCGACGGUUGGGGAUGGACUCGCGGCUUAUCAGCUUGUUGGUGGGGUAGUGGCUUACCAAGGCUUUGACGGGUAGCCGGCCUGAGAGGGUGACCGGCCACAUUGGGACUGAGAUACGGCCCAGACUCCUACGGGAGGCAGCAGUGGGGAAUAUUGCACAAUGGGCGGAAGCCUGAUGCAGCAACGCCGCGUGCGGGAUGACGGCCUUCGGGUUGUAAACCGCUUUCGCCUGUGACGAAGCGUGAGUGACGGUAAUGGGUAAAGAAGCACCGGCUAACUACGUG